Molecule: transfer RNA, 94 nt
Filed under: Streptomyces aureoverticillatus
Lineage: Bacteria; Bacillati; Actinomycetota; Actinomycetes; Kitasatosporales; Streptomycetaceae
Description: tRNA-Gly
Source: RNAcentral
CGAGGUGUUCGUCGGUGGGCAGGAUCUCGGCCUGCCAGGCCUUGCCGGUCGCGGAGUACAGGGCGCCGAGCCGGUUCGACUCCGUCUCGUCGGC